This 225-nucleotide ribosomal RNA is filed under the name uncultured microorganism. RNAcentral's name for it is "partial 16S ribosomal RNA". It matches the Rfam family "Bacterial small subunit ribosomal RNA", at positions 9 to 232 of the family's 1533-position model. The record is from RNAcentral.
GAGUUUGAUCGUGGCUCAGAUUGAACGCUGGCGGCAUGCCUUACACAUGCAAGUCGAACGGCAGCAUGAUCUAGCUUGCUAGAUUGAUGGCGAGUGGCGAACGGGUGAGUAAUACAUCGGAACGUGCCCUGUAGUGGGGAGUAACUAGUCGAAGAAUUAGUCUAAUAACCGCCAUACGACCUCGAGGGUGGAAAGUAGGGGGGACCGGGCCGAACGGACCGUCCA